This 501-nucleotide ribosomal RNA is filed under the name uncultured bacterium. RNAcentral describes it as "partial 16S ribosomal RNA". It matches the Rfam family "Bacterial small subunit ribosomal RNA", at positions 30 to 523 of the family's 1533-position model. The record is from RNAcentral.
AUUGAACGCUGGCGGCAGGCUUAACACAUGCAAGUCGAGCGGGGGAAGGUAGCUUGCUACCGGACCUAGCGGCGGACGGGUGAGUAAUGCUUAGGAAUCUGCCUAUUAGUGGGGGACAACAUCUCGAAAGGGAUGCUAAUACCGCAUACGUCCUACGGGAGAAAGCAGGGGAUCUUCGGACCUUGCGCUAAUGGAUGAGCCUAAGUCGGAUUAGCUAGUUGGGGGGGUAAAGGCCUACCAAGGCGACGAUCUGUAGCGGGUCUGAGAGGAUGGUCCGCCACAAUGGGAAUGGGACACGGCCCAGACUCCUACGGGAGGCAGCAGUGGGGAAUAUUGGACAAUGGGGGGAACCCUGAUCCAGCCAUGCCGCGUGUGUGAAGAAGGCCUUAUGGUUGUAAAGCACUUUAAGCGAGGAGGAGGCUACUUUAGUUAAUACCUAGAGAUAGUGGACGUUACUCGCAGAAUAAGCACCGGCUAACUCUGUGCCAGCAGCCGCGGUAA